This 492-nucleotide ribosomal RNA is filed under the name uncultured bacterium. RNAcentral's name for it is "partial 16S ribosomal RNA". It matches the Rfam family "Bacterial small subunit ribosomal RNA", at positions 30 to 507 of the family's 1533-position model. The record is from RNAcentral.
AUUGAACGCUGGCGGCAUGCUUUACACAUGCAAGUCGAACGGUAACAGGCCUUCGGGUGCUGACGAGUGGCGAACGGGUGAGUAAUGCAUCGGAACGUACCCAGAGGUGGGGGAUAACGCAGCGAAAGCUGUGCUAAUACCGCAUGUGAUCUGAGGAUGAAAGCGGGGGACCGAGCAGCAAUGUUUGGCCUCGCGCCUUUGGAGGGGCCGAUGUCGGAUUAGCUAGUUGGUGGGGUAAAGGCCUACCAAGGCGACGAUCCGUAGCUGGUCUGAGAGGACGACCUGCCACACUAGAACUGAGACACGGCCCAGACUCCACCGGUAGGCAGCAGUGGAGAAUUUUGGACAAUGGGCGGAAGCCUGCUCCAGCAAUGCCGCGUGCGGGAAGAAGGCCUUCGGGUCGUAAACCACUUCUGGCAGGAACGAAACGGUGUCCGCUAAUACCGGGCCUUAAUGACGGUACCUGACGAAAAAGCACCGGCUAACUACGUG